GGUCAGCUUUCCUGGCGGGGUCACCCAUGAAGACAGUGGGAGGGUUAAACAUGUGAGACAAGCGCAGAAUAUCCAAUUAUGAGGCGAUUUAAAGCACAUAUUAUAAUAAAUAGUUUGACUAAAGCAAAAACAUUGAUGAAAAAAAGCAUCAUAGCUCCAUGCAACCCACACAAAUGAAAAACAUUUGUUUUGCCCUAUAGGUUAUAAAAAAAAUAAUAAUUGUACGUCGCUUUGGAUAAAAGCGUCUGCAAAAUGAAUAAACAUAAUAAUAAUAAUAAUAAUAAAAACAAAAUUUUUCAUUCUGAUGGUGGUGAGAGAUUUACUUAACUUUCUUAAAAACACAGGCCUGUGUGGGUAAAUGUGUUUAAGAAUGAAACCAGGAACGUGAAAACCAAAGCAAUGAAAGCAACACGUUUGGUAUCAAACCUGUACUUAAAGCAACUGCAGUAAACGAGGUGUGAAGCAGGAUUCUGUUGCAGAAGUGGUCUAAAAAAGAGGGUAGUGAGGUGUCAUCCGACAUUUCCUGCAUCAUAGUUUAGUGUGAGACAACUUCCUGUCACUGUCACAAACAUGAGGGCAUUUUUAAAAUAUAAUACCCUAAUGUUUUUUUUUUAGCAUUUUGCAGGUUUCCUACGACUUUUACACACAGACCAUGCAACUUUAGCACCCACAUUUACCAACAGUUGUGCACAUUGUUCAUGCAUGUGGGUCUACACCAAACAGAAAUAAGGUGGGCGACUUUCUUCAAACAAGAAUCCAACCUUACAGCCAGCAGGGCCCACUUUCAGCCCAUUAAAGACCCACUCCGGCUCUACAGACAAAUUUGAGCUGGUUACUGGAUUAAAGAUUUUGCAGUGUAGCAGCAUUGAUUUGAUGUUACUGUGAACAGAAACACUAACCUGGCAAGCCAUCCCAUAUAUGUCAACAUAUAGUCUGGACACCGCCCACUGACGUCUCUCAGUCAUGGGGCGAGACCUACGGUUGCCUUUGAAACUGUCUCCGUAUACUAUUGGAUAACGAACAAUGUGACGUGCUCACUGCUACAGAUAACCUAACCAUACUCCACCAAAGAAGCAAAUACAUCCUUUUUCUAAGUAAACACAAGUACCUCUUUCUGCUUCUGAGUCAAACAGAAGCCCAAGGCCAAAUAGUCCAAAGUUGAUGCCGAUUAGACCGUUACAGAGUUGUCGCCAACUUAGUUUCCCUCAGUUGCACUAAUGUCCCACCUACCUGACUGAUAGAGCACUGUGAUUGGCCCACCACACCAAUAGAGUGCUACAGAUGUCAGUGAACAGAGCAGUCCGCCAUAUAUCGGUGAAGAAGACGCAAACUAAACUGAUAGAGCGCUGUGAUUGGUCCGGCACCAGGUGGCCGGGGCUGUGAAGGUUCCAAUGUAGCGUAGCUAGACCAUCCGGUCUAGCUUCCUAGGCUACAGAAACACAACUAGAGCAAGAAAAUACUGUAACAUGAGGAAAUAUGGGUUUUUCUGUCACAAAGGUGGUGCUGGACUAAGCUGGGUCAAAGCUGGGUCAUUGAGAACUUUCACCCACAGAUUAAGACCUGAACGCCAGCGAGUCUGGGAGGAAACCAUAACAUCAGCCACCUGCAGUCUACCAGAAGAUGUGUUUCCAUGAGUUGUACCCAGACCAAGUCAAAACAUAAAGUUUAAACUUCUUUUUCUUGAUUUUAAUGUUAAAGUAACCAUUAUCAUUUUGCUCAUUAUAAAUGUGUUUAAUCAAAUGAAUGACUAUUAUGCUUUGGGGUAAUUAUAAGAGAUUUAAUGAAUCCAUUCUUAAAUAGUGUUGAGAAUGUUUGUUACUGACCUUCACACACUCAAGCACAAACAGUCACACACAUCCACACACAUCUUCCCACAGUAAACUCCAGACACAUUUGAUGACGCACACGUUUGCUUUGAGAAGAGAAAGGUUUUUGGUAAGUUUCAGUCUUAUGAUUCCAGUUCGUGCUUGACAACGAAAGAGAGAGAACCUGAAAGGGGGGGACAGAGCCUGUUGGCUCGUUUCUCCCCCCCCCCCCCCCCCCCCUUUCUCACGCUGUUUCUGCCAAGCCAGGCAGAAUAGCUGAAUCGCAACUUCUAACGCAGACUCAAUACAGAGUCUUUGAUUUCUGAGUGAAUUAACUUAAGAAAGCGCAUCGACAAAACGCUUUACCAUCCACGUGUACCGAGGGCAACUCUGGACCGGUUCCGUUCGACACCUACGUCUCCUGUCAGCCGCCGGUGUCAUCUGGAUGAACCACAACAUCCUCCACGGCCCGGAUCCGAAAGAGGGUCCACAAGAGUUCGGUGAGACAGAGCACGGUUUUAGCGUUUGAUGCAGUUCUCUGAUAAGACCUAAGUUUAUUCAAACCAUCACUUCACUCAGACACCUGUUUCUUCCUGAAGCAAAAUCAGAUGCACACACGCAUCCAUCUCACCCCAUCCUUGGAUCACUCCUUUUCAGAACCUCCAAGUCCAACACCUCCAGGUCUUUGGACAUCUGAACACCAACUCUUUCAGCACGAUUCAGACACGGCAUGAGUUUGAGAAACAAAAGGGGGGUGGGGAACCUCCUCCUGCUUUGCGAGCAUCAUUUUCGCAUUUCCAGUUCACUACCAUUUCUGAUCACAACAAAGUCGCCUCCGUAAAGCUGCAACCCAACUUUGAGCAGGUAAAAUCAGGUUCUGAUCUAACAGCUAAACCAUCAGCUUCGCUCCAGUUCCGGACGGAACCCUCAGGUAAAUUCAAACAAGUUUCCCGGUGGGUUCGUAACACAAGAUACAAACAGUUUGAUAACCAAAUCGCUUAUGAGCCUGCUCCCACAGAUACGUCCAAACUCGUGUCUCUGUGGGUCCGCAAUACCAGAUUCAAAACUCUAUACUGAACAACUCUAUUCUGACCAACUCUAUUCAGACCGGAUUCUUUUCCGCUGACUGGUGGACCGUUACAAAUUCUCUUGUUUGUGGGAUGAAUUUUUAACAAAUGUGAUAUCCUUUGAGUUUUUUUUUCAGGUUACCUGCCUCCAGCCAGGGUCCUGUUACUAACUCACAUUUUCAGGGAUUACUAACCUACUGAUUUACAUUUUUAGAACUGAUUUACAUCUCUAUCUUUUUAUUAGUGCUUUGUGUGGCAUGAUUAUAUUUGAUUACAAAUUUAAUUUUAUUUUGUUACUAUUACUUAAAGGGCCACAAGCCAAUUUGCCCUUCAUUUUCAUGAUUAUUUCUUUUAUAUAUAAGCCUUUAAUUGGUGCAGCCUGCUGAGUUUCACAUAUCAGUUAGGAUUUACUUUCUUUUAUUUGUGUUUUCUCUGCAUCACGUUUUUACAUGACAUGUAGAACAGGGUGCAGAACAUUUCUUCUUUAGAUAAUUCACAGAAGGCAUCCACAUUUUCCCAGAGGCACCCAUAGAUAGGUUUUGAUUGAUUUCUUUGUUUUGCAUCAAAUGCUAUCUAUCGUGUGGGCUGUCUCACUUUGUCUCCUUCUCCGAGCUCGUAUGGACUACAUCCCAUCAGAGGGGUCGUCUUCACCAUCCUUCAACUGGUUUCCUGUCGCAUGGGGCUUCGGUCGUGGUUCGAGAUGGGUCGAGGUCUGCGCUGGACUUCGCCUGGACUACGCCCGAGGAAUGCAUCACCUGCCCAGCUCCGUGUGACACACGAGCUGCUUAUCCUUUGAAUACCUUUGCAUUAUUACUGAUGAAAUUAACUGCUAUUGAAAUAGCUCUGCUUUCAAGAUUCCCUAAGUGGAUUACUUUACAAUGAUUGCAACAGUUUUGGCCUUAAUCAUCUGAUCAGGAUAGACUCCCUUCUACACGAGACCUGUGGUGAUGCUUCAUCGUUCCUGCCUUCAUCUGGGAUGUCUACCUUCACGAGUACAUCACGUUAUUGUGGUUGUGACGUCAGGUGGCCUCUGCUUGACCACCAUGUCGUCACAAAAAGGGGGGAUCUGUAACGUGAGGAAAUAUGGGUUUUUCUGUCACAAAGGUGGUGCUGGACUAAGCUGGGUCAAAGCUGGGUCAUUGAGAACUUUCACCCACAGAUUAAGACCUGAACGCCAGUGAGUCUGGGAGGAAACCAUAACAUCAGCCACCUGCAGUCUAGCAGAAGAUGUGUUUCCAUGAGUUGUACCCAGACCAAGUCAAAACAUAAAGUUUAAACUUCUUUUUCUUGAUUUUAAUGUUAAAGUAACCAUUAUCAUUUUGCUCAUUAUAAAUGUGUUUAAUCAAAUGAAUGACUAUUAUGCUUUGGGGUAAUUAUAAGAGAUUUAAUGACUCCAUUCUUAAAUAAUGUUGAGAAUGUUUGUUACUGACCUUCACACACUCAAGCACACAAACAGUCACACACACCCACACACAUCUUCCCACAGUAAACUCCAGACACAUUUGAUGACGCACAUGUUUUGCUUUGAGAAGAGAAAGGUUUUUGGUAAGUUUCAGUCUUAUGAUUCCAGUUCGUGCUUGACAACGAAAGAGAGAGAACCUGAAAGGGGGGACAGAGCCUGUUGGCUCGUUUCUUCCCCCCCCCCCCCCCCCCUUUUCUCACGCUGUUUCUGCCAAGCCAGGCAGAAUAGCUGAAUCGCAACUUCUAACGCAGACUCAAUACAGAGUCUUUGAUUUCUGAGUGAAUUAACUUAAGAAAGCGCAUCGACAAAACGCUUUACCAUCCACGUGUACCGAGGGCAACUCUGGACCGGUUCCGUUCGACACCUACGUCCCCUGUCAGCCGCCGGUGUCAUCUGGAUGAACCACAACAUCCUCCACGGCCCGGAUCCGAAAGAGGGUCCACAAGAGUUCGGUGAGACAGAGCACGGGUUUUAGCGUUUGAUGCAGUUCUCUGAUAAGACCUAAGUUUAUUCAAACCAUCACUUUUCACUCAGACACCUGUUUCUUCCUGAAGCAAAAUCAGACUCACACACUCUUCAUAAAUUCACCAGAAGGUCUAUUUGAGCAAGAACAGCAUAUCAACUGUUAAAGAUUGUCCCACAAAGUUGCCAAUGUGAUUGUUAUUUCCUGUUUGUCAAUUUUCAAAAUCAUUAGUUUAAUUUGAAGAAUUAAAACUUUUAAUCCUUCAAA
Nothobranchius furzeri (turquoise killifish) is the source of this 5064-nucleotide non-coding RNA. The record is from RefSeq and is a predicted model, not a curated record. NCBI's taxonomy places the organism in Eukaryota, Metazoa, Chordata, Actinopteri, Cyprinodontiformes, Nothobranchiidae.